This 496-nucleotide ribosomal RNA is filed under the name uncultured bacterium. RNAcentral's name for it is "partial 16S ribosomal RNA". It matches the Rfam family "Bacterial small subunit ribosomal RNA", at positions 29 to 507 of the family's 1533-position model. The record is from RNAcentral.
AUGAACGCUGGCGGCGUGCCUAAUACAUGCAAGUCGAGCGAACAGAUAAGGAGCUUGCUCCUUUGACGUUAGCGGUGGACGGGUGAGUAACACGUGGAUAACCUACCUAUAAGACUGGGAUAACUUCGGGAAACCGGAGCUAAUACCGGAUAACAUAUUGAACCGCAUGGUUCAAUAGUGAAAGGCGGCUUUGCUGUCACUUAUAGAUGGAUCCGCGCCGUAUUAGCUAGUUGGUAAGGUAACGGCUUACCAAGGCAACGAUACGUAGCCGACCUGAGAGGGUGAUCGGCCACACUGGAACUGAGACACGGUCCAGACUCCUACGGGAGGCAGCAGUAGGGAAUCUUCCGCAAUGGUCGAAAGCCUGACGGAGCAACGCCGCGUGAGUGAUGAAGGUCUUCGGAUCGUAAAACUCUGUUAUCAGGGAAGAACAAAUGUGUAAGUAACUGUGCACAGCUUGACGGUACCUGAUCAGAAAGCCACGGCUAACUACGUG